AUGUGUGACUCUUAUGUGUCUAACAGCAUCACCCCUCCCAUCACACAGACAGACAGUGACUCUGCCCUCUCAGAUCAUUUAGUUCUGAAUGUCACAAUGAUCACAGCAGGGCUGAUCAAACUCUCUGCAGCUCUGCUCUGCAUCACAGGAGUGAUCGCAGGGAGUGGGGUCACACAGACUCCUCAGGUGUGGGAGAAUGAGGGUCAGUCUGCCACCAUGACCUGCAGCCAUGAUAAAGGUGCAAGCUAUUUCCAGAUGUACUGGUUCAGACAGCGACCAGGAGAAUUAAUGCAGCAGAUCGUUUUGAGCACACCAAACCCCCCACCUCAGUACUACCAUAGCUUCCGUGAAGACAGGUUUCCUGUAAAGAAGGACCACUAUAGCAAUGGAUCUCUGACUGUGGAGAAGCUGCUGCCUGAAGACAGUGGGGUGUAUUACUGUGCUGUGAGUGAACACAGUGAUACAGACGACUCAGACAGCUCUUACAAGCCAGUUACAGUCAAGUUGUGA
Molecule: non-coding RNA, 510 nt
Organism: Cheilinus undulatus (humphead wrasse)
Lineage: Eukaryota; Metazoa; Chordata; Actinopteri; Labriformes; Labridae
Source: the annotation of a RefSeq genome assembly